AGGAUGGGCCACAAGACGCACGUUGUAGUAAAUACGCAGGUGUGAGUCCUUUCCUGCACCCUGUGAUAAUCUGACCUUUUUUUUCCCCUUUGUUUUAGUGGGAAGAAGCUCAGAAGCACCGAGCUAGUGAAGCAAGCUGGUAGCAAGGAGGGUGCCGUGAGCUCCGUGGCGAGUGCUGAGCAGCGUCUGGGACACACAAUGCAUCGGCAGGAAAGCAGUGCACCUAACAUCAGGCGUCUGCCAAAACUUGAAAGGGUUCUAGACGCGGAUACUUUGCAUUUGACUCUGGAGCGUAGCCUUUGAGGCCAAACUCAGCCUUCAGUGUUAAGUGGCCUAUUCAGCCAGCGCAGGUGACGACGUAUCCUUCAUGAAGAGUUGCCAAGAGGUGGAUGGAAUUGCAAGUCUGGAGGUUUUCACGUUGGGGAGCACAGAAAACACUCUGAGACUGUGGCCUAAGUGCACCAGCAGUCUUCCAGACAGUAACUUUCUCCCUGGUCCUGGAGCCUGUUCUCAAGGCCAAGUGGCGUCCUGGAAGUUACGCCUGGUCAGAGGUGGUGCAUCCUGUUCAGCCGUUUGCAGACUUGGAUCCUAAAAGCGAAGCCUCCAGCUAGCUGGCUCACGUGUAUCUGCACGCUCCUGCAGUCUGAGAGCCCCGUUCGCCAGCGGCAGAGGCAACGUGAUCGCCCCGUCUCCAGGAGCCCG
Long non-coding RNA from Struthio camelus australis, 702 nucleotides. NCBI's taxonomy places the organism in Eukaryota, Metazoa, Chordata, Aves, Struthioniformes, Struthionidae. The record is from Ensembl.